RNAcentral lists this ribosomal RNA (411 nucleotides) under uncultured bacterium. Its description in RNAcentral is "bacterial SSU rRNA". It matches the Rfam family "Bacterial small subunit ribosomal RNA", at positions 509 to 918 of the family's 1533-position model. The record is from RNAcentral.
CAGCAGCCGCGGUAAUACGGAUGGUGCGAGCGUUAAUCGGAAUUACUGGGCGUAAAGCGCGCGUAGGCGGCUAAGUCAGUCAGAAGUGAAAGCCCCGGGCUCAACCUGGGAAUUGCUUUUGAUACUGCUUAGCUAGAGUUUGGUAGAGGAUAGUGGAAUUCCAGGUGUAGCGGUGAAAUGCGUAGAUAUCUGGAGGAACAUCAGUGGCGAAGGCGACUGUCUGGACCAAAACUGACGCUGAGGUGCGAAAGCGUGGGUAGCAAACAGGAUUAGAUACCCUGGUAGUCCACGCCGUAAACGAUGUCAACUAGCCGUCGGACCUAUUUACAGACUUGGUGGCGCAGCUAACGCGAUAAGUUGACCGCCUGGGGAGUACGGCCGCAAGGUUAAAACUCAAAGGAAUUGACGGGG